AUUAAGAGAAGAUAAAAGAGCAACAAACAAUGGCAAAAUUAAUCCGUGGGGCAACUCGACUCGACUUGACGUACCACAAGUUUACAUAACAUUUCAAAGCAUAAAGGUAUAACAGAACCUUUACAUAGCAGAUAUAAAAUAAGAGAAGAAUUUGUUGUAGUGAAUUGAGUCACCUCAAGGCCACACUCUCUUGAAUGCGAAACAACCUAAACAUUAAAGAACUUGAUGUUUCGACGAAGGAGAAGAAAUAGAAGCUAAAAGAAGAAGAAGAAAUCGAAGCGGUGGAACUUGAAAGAAGCCACCGAGUUCUGAAGUUUUAGUAAUUGAAAGUCUUGACGUGGGCUGUGGCCAAAUAUUUUGUUUUCUAAGAAAAUAAUAAAGAAAACUUAAUCACAAAGGCGAAGGCGACUGCAUGAUUGAAGAGCCUCGCCUUGGCAUUCCAAGAGGCUCAUAGGCCCCUCGGCGCCUCGCCUCGCCUCUCACCUUAGGCGCGUGCCUGGGGUCGCAUCAAUUUGACACACAUGGAAGAAAAGAGUGACGAGAGGCACUCACUGAAAUCAUGGUGGAGACCCAUUGUCUGCGAGACUCAGCGUUGAUUCCGAUUACUGUUCUUUUAGGCCUCCUGUAAAUGGUGAUUAUGAGCCAAAGAUGGUAGCUCACCAGCACCGCAAAGCCAAGCGGAACCAUUAAAUAUUCAAGACCUUUCACUUCCAUCCUUC
Cucumis sativus (cucumber) is the source of this 719-nucleotide long non-coding RNA. RefSeq lists it as uncharacterized. The transcript has 2 exons. The record is from RefSeq and is a predicted model, not a curated record. NCBI's taxonomy places the organism in Eukaryota, Viridiplantae, Streptophyta, Magnoliopsida, Cucurbitales, Cucurbitaceae.